RNAcentral lists this non-coding RNA (28 nucleotides) under Rattus norvegicus (Norway rat). The record is from RNAcentral. Lineage: Eukaryota; Metazoa; Chordata; Mammalia; Rodentia; Muridae.
UGGGUAAACUGUAAGGAUUUGGUGGAUU